Corythoichthys intestinalis (scribbled pipefish) is the source of this 543-nucleotide long non-coding RNA. RefSeq lists it as uncharacterized. The transcript has 3 exons. The record is from RefSeq and is a predicted model, not a curated record. Lineage: Eukaryota; Metazoa; Chordata; Actinopteri; Syngnathiformes; Syngnathidae.
UCCGGCCGCAGGUUGACGGACCAGAAAAUAGACCUCGUACAUAUAUUAGUUUUGACGGAUCGGAGAGGCGGACUCAGGCGCAUCCGGAUCGGAGCUGAGCGAAUCAUGUGGACCACCUCGUAUUGACUACAAUACAAACGUAUUUGUUGCGUCGUUCGGAACGGAGCUAAGCGUAGCGCGGCUGACAAUGUGUGUUUCAGCAUUCAGAAAACAAAGCAGGCGCAAAGACUUGUGGGUGAAAUGACACCACGACUGGGCUGCGAAGCAACGCAGAGAUGAGCACAGCAAUCCCAGGUAGACUUGUACUCCUCAGAGGCAUGUUGAAACCACGAUACCGUGAGUGCAGACAGUCCUCUCUGCUCCUGUUCGCUGCCUCUCUCUCCUCCAGCUACACUCAGCUGCUGCCACAGUCUAGUUGGUACAGACGGUGUUGCUGUAAACCGUCAAGUAAUUACCCUCCAAGAGUAUGCCUGUGUCGUCAGGAGAUCCCAGACGUGAGAGUCAAACUUGAGGAGGCUGAAGCACUGACAGGGGCAUGGCAUG